This is a long non-coding RNA of Esox lucius (northern pike), 1367 nucleotides long. RefSeq lists it as uncharacterized. Lineage: Eukaryota; Metazoa; Chordata; Actinopteri; Esociformes; Esocidae. The transcript has 3 exons. The record is from RefSeq and is a predicted model, not a curated record.
GAAUGGUACUCCACAUCACAUCAUCAUCAUCACUAUUGAACACCCCAAUACAUGUGACGUGAUACGAAAUGAAAUGCUAAUUGUUUCAAACGCGGGCUGUAAAAUGCUUUGUGAUAGGUCAUUUGCUCAUCCAAACAGCUUUAUAAACUGGAUUUCCACCGUACAACAAUUCUCAAUGAUGGCUGACCUGUCGCUUUUAGAAGAUGCAUAUGCGCCCUUGAGAAGGGAAAGAGUAUUUCAAGAUAGGUGAUAUCUUCUGAAUGAAUCGGAUGAAUGGCUGAUGAGCAGAUUCCGUCUUCCAAGGCAUCUUCUCCUGGAGCUGUGCAAUAACCUGGAGCCCUACCUCCAACGUGAGACCCAGCGGUCAAGGGCCUUACCUGUUCCAGUCCAGGUUCUCUCCACACUGGGGUUCUUGGCCACUGGAACCUUUCAACGGGAGAUUGCUGACAGGUCUGGUAUAUCCCAACCCACCAUGACCCGCGUGCUGUCAUCCGUGCUGGCUGCCAUCAGGACUCUCAUCCCAUACUACAUACAAUUCCCAUACGAAAAUGCCCAGCAAACAAUGAUUAAAAGAGGGUUUUAUGAGAUUGCUGGGAUUCCAAAUGUCAUAGGUGCAAUUGACUGUACCCACGUGCGUCUGAAACCACCAUCGGUUAAUGAUUACGCAUACAUCAACCGCAAAAAAUUAUCAUUCAGUCAAUGUGCAAAUUAUUUGUGAUGCCAGACUCUGCCUAUUAAAUGUUGUCGCACGAUGGCCUGGAGGCACCCACGAUGCCUUCAUUUUUUAGCACAGCAGCGUACGCAGACGGCUGCAGGAGGGCGCAUUGAGGGGUCAUGGUUAUCUUUUAGGUAAGUACUAAGAGCAAAUUUAUUUUGCUAAAUAUAUUUGUUUCAUAACCUCUCUUUUCCCCUUUAGGUGACAGGGGUUAUCCUCUUUUAAACUCUUUGAUCACCCCUGUGCCAAAUCCCGUGACGCAUCAGGAGCGCAACUUCAACCACACGCACGCACAAACACGAGCCACUGUGGAGCGCUGCGUGGGGCUCCUAAAAGGUCGAUGGCUCUGCCUGGCACAUGCGGGGGGCACGUUGCUCUAUUCGCCAAACCCAGAAGUGCCAGUGGAGCAGUGGGCAGCACCACCGGCUUUAGGAGCUAUUCAGCUCAGACGGGACCUUGUUCGGCGGUUUUAAUGGACCUCAUCCGUCAGGACCCUUGGCCGUGGCGCACGGGAGGCUGGUGGACGGGACUCUGCUUCCCCCGCUUGCACCUGCUCAGGCUCUGGCGCAAGGAUAGGCUCAGGCUCCUGGAUGGGCUGAGGGGGAGAUGCCUCGAGGGCGCUGGGGCCUGCGGUGCCAUCAUCUGCAAAACA